GACGAACGCUGGCGGCGUGCUUAACACAUGCAAGUCGAACGGAAAGGGCCUGCUUGCAGGUUACUCGAGUGGCGAACGGGUGAGUAACACGUCGGCGACCUGCCCUGAACGUCGGGAUAAGCCUGGGAAACAGGGUUUAUUACGGGGCAGGAGCAACAAAGAGUGUGACGGUUGGAUAGCUUUUUCGGUGUAGGCUGAGCUCGCGGCCUAUCAGCUUGUUGGUGGGGUAAUGGCCUACCAAGGCGGCGAUGGGUAGCCGGCGGGUGAGGGUGGACGGUCACCCUGGGUCUGAGAGACGGCCCAGACUCCUACGGGAGGCAGCGGUGGGGAAGAUUGCACAAUGGGCGCAAGCCGGAUGCAGCGACGCCGCGUGGGGGAUGACGGCCUUCGGGUUGUAAACUCCUUUCGCUAGGGACGAUGCCUUUUGUGACGGUACCUAGAUAAGAAGCACCGGCUAACUACGUG
RNAcentral lists this ribosomal RNA (465 nucleotides) under uncultured bacterium. RNAcentral's name for it is "partial 16S ribosomal RNA". It matches the Rfam family "Bacterial small subunit ribosomal RNA", at positions 28 to 507 of the family's 1533-position model. The record is from RNAcentral.